RNAcentral lists this ribosomal RNA (430 nucleotides) under uncultured bacterium. Its description in RNAcentral is "bacterial SSU rRNA". It matches the Rfam family "Bacterial small subunit ribosomal RNA", at positions 8 to 425 of the family's 1533-position model. The record is from RNAcentral.
AGAGUUUGAUCCUGGCUCAGAAUCAACGCUGGCGGCGUGCCUAACACAUGCAAGUCGAACGCGAAAGUCCCGCAAGGGAUAAGUAGAGUGGCAAACGGGUGAGUAACACGUGGGUGACCUGCCUUCGAGUGGGGGAUAACGUCCCGAAAGGGACGCUAAUACCGCAUAACAUCCUGCCUUUGAAGAGGUGGAGAUCAAAGCUGGGGACCGCAAGGCCUGGCGUUCGAAGAGGGGCCCGCGCCUGAUUAGCUAGUUGGUGAGGUAAUGGCCCACCAAGGCUUCGAUCAGUAUCCGGCCUGAGAGGGCGGACGGACACACUGGGACUGAGACACGGCCCAGACUCCUACGGGAGGCAGCAGUGGGGAAUUGUUCGCAAUGGGCGCAAGCCUGACGACGCAACGCCGCGUGGAGGAUGAAGACCUUCGGGUCG